This 500-nucleotide ribosomal RNA is filed under the name uncultured bacterium. RNAcentral describes it as "partial 16S ribosomal RNA". It matches the Rfam family "Bacterial small subunit ribosomal RNA", at positions 30 to 523 of the family's 1533-position model. The record is from RNAcentral.
AUUGAACGCUGGCGGCAGGCCUAACACAUGCAAGUCGAGCGGAUGACGGGAGCUUGCUCCUUGAUUCAGCGGCGGACGGGUGAGUAAUGCCUAGCAAUCUGCCUGGUAGUGGGGGACAACGUUUCGAAAGGAACGCUAAUACCGCAUACGUCCUACGGGAGAAAGCAGGGGACCUUCGGGCCUUGCGCUAUCAGAUGAGCCUAGGUCGGAUUAGCUAGUUGGUGGGGUAAUGGCUCACCAAGGCGACGAUCCGUAACUGGUCUGAGAGGAUGAUCAGUCACACUGGAACUGAGACACGGUCCAGACUCCUACGGGAGGCAGCAGUGGGGAAUAUUGGACAAUGGGCGAAAGCCUGAUCCAGCCAUGCCGCGUGUGUGAAGAAGGUCUUCGGAUUGUAAAGCACUUUAAGUUGGGAGGAAGGGCAGUAAGCUAAUACCUUGCUGUUUUGACGUUACCGACAGAAUAAGCACCGGCUAACUCUGUGCCAGCAGCCGCAGUAA